RNAcentral lists this ribosomal RNA (153 nucleotides) under Salmonella enterica subsp. enterica serovar Montevideo. RNAcentral describes it as "partial 16S ribosomal RNA". It matches the Rfam family "Bacterial small subunit ribosomal RNA", at positions 1171 to 1335 of the family's 1533-position model. The record is from RNAcentral. Lineage: Bacteria; Pseudomonadati; Pseudomonadota; Gammaproteobacteria; Enterobacterales; Enterobacteriaceae.
AGGUGGGGAUGACGUCAAGUCAUCAUGGCCCUUACGACCAGGGCUACACACGUGCUACAAUGGCGCAUACAAAGAGAAGCGACCUCGCGAGAGCAAGCGGACCUCAUAAAGUGCGUCGUAGUCCGGAAAAAAGCGACUAAAAGCGCGACUGGC